RNAcentral lists this ribosomal RNA (253 nucleotides) under uncultured prokaryote. RNAcentral's name for it is "partial 16S ribosomal RNA". It matches the Rfam family "Bacterial small subunit ribosomal RNA", at positions 525 to 777 of the family's 1533-position model. The record is from RNAcentral.
ACGAAGGUGGCAAGCGUUGUUCGGAUUUACUGGGCGUACAGGGAGCGUAGGCGGUUGGAUAAGCCCUCCGUGAAAUCUCCAGGCUUAACCUGGAACAGUCGGGGGGGACUGCCGGGCUAGAGGACGGGAGAGGAGCGCGGAAUUCCCGGUGUAGCGGUGAAAUGCGUAGAGAUCGGGAGGAAGGCCGGUGGCGAAGGCGGCGCUCUGGAACGGCCCUGACACUGAGGCUCGAAAGCGUGGGGAGCAAACAGGA